Molecule: long non-coding RNA, 8996 nt
Organism: Nymphaea colorata (pocket water lily)
Lineage: Eukaryota; Viridiplantae; Streptophyta; Magnoliopsida; Nymphaeales; Nymphaeaceae
Exons: 9
Source: RefSeq, a predicted model, not a curated record
AGCGAGGGAAGUUUACACCGAGAGUAUUGAGGGUGACCGUCCCGCCAUCGUCUAUCCUCUUGCUCACAGGGCACUCUCCGCCUUCUUGUUUGCCACUUUUAAUGCUGGCAAAGAAGGGCAAAUACUUGCACAACGCUCUUUUCUUUUUUGUUUCGAGCAAGUAUUUUCAUAAUAGGGAGGAGGGAGGGAGUGAAGAAGUUUCGCGGGCUUCCUCUUUGCCCAAUAAAUCAUCGAUGUCCUUUCUUCCAUUCUGUUCGAGCUUCCCUACAGCGGUAAGGAUGUCGAUUUGCUGGAGCAAUUCUGCAAGACAAGGAAAAAAGAGCAAAGACAGAUUCCGCGAUCUGGGAGAAAAUAGGAGGAGAAAGGAAUGCUUCAAAAUGGUUGUAUGCGCAUCGGGUGAAAUACGUACGGCGAGGGAGAAUUUCACUCGUUAAGUGGUGCAUCAAAGGCCGUUAAAAUCCACCCGGUAAAAUGGCAAACUUUCUCGUUCCCCUCCUUUUCUCUCUGCUUUCCCCACCGUCGAAGUGCCGAUUCCCCUCCUCUCUCGCUCUCUCUCGGCUGCUCUCUCCUUCCUCUCCUCUCUCGCUGCUCUCUCGCUCCCUCCUUCCUCUCCUCUUUCCCCAACGUCGCUGCCUCCUUUCCUCUCUCGCUCCCUCCUUCCUCUCCUCUUUUCCCAACGUCGCUCCCUCCUUUCCUCUCUCGCUCCCUCCUUCCUCUCCUCUUUCCCCAACGUCGCUCCCUCCUUCCUCUCCUCUUUCCCCAACGUCGCUCCCUCCUUUCCUCUCUCGCUUCUCUCUCGCUCCCUCCUUCCUCUCCUCUUUCCCCAACGUCGCUCCCUCCUUUCCUCUCUCGCUGCUCUCUCGUUCCCUCCUUCCUCUCCUCUUUCCCCAACGUCGCUCCCUCCUUCCUCUCCUCUUUCCCCAACGUCGCUCCCUCCUUCCUCUCUCGCUGCUCUCUCGCUCCCUCCUCUCUCUCCUCUUUCCCCAACCUCGCUCCCUCCUUCCUCUCUCGCUGCUGUCUCGCUCCCUCCUUCCCCAACGUCGCCCGCUUGCAGCCCCAGGACUUAGGCACCAUCUUCAACAGGAAAUUUGGGUUUAUCCCUCUUCGCUGCUGCUUUACUCAGGGGUCCAUCCUAUGGUAGUAAAGGCAAAGUGCUGCUUGCUUAUGAAAAAAAUGGGUCCUCUAAAGUCUGUGUUAGAUUUGAUAAUCCAGUUCUGGAGGGAGAUGACCUUGGUGGUCUAUCUGUGGAAAAUCACAGCUUCUUUUGUAGUGCUGACUACUUGCAUUUAGAAAGUUCUUGCAGUGAGGAAAUUGACAAGAUUUCGACCAAUGCAAUGUUUGAGCUUGUCCCCAAUGAGAGUUCUUGUUUCUCAAAGAUGUCGAGAAAUCUUUUGUUGUCUAUUCAGUUUACUUUCUUCAAGACAAAUGUAGCAGGCCCAGAUAGUGUGGAGAUUGUUCGGUAGCCAGUACAACAAAAUGUUGCUUUUGUCUAUAUUUUUUUAAUGGAGCAUAUUCAAAUUCCAAAAUUCCAAUGUUUAUGCUCAAACUCUUACUCGAGUGUAAUUGUUGUUACUGGUACAUAGUUGAAUAACUUUUACUAGAAAUGUUAGCCUACAGAAAAUGAAAUAAUAGGUGAAAAAAAAGAUCUUUGUAUGUACCAUAUAAUUUUAUUCUAGUAUAGAAACUUAAUUUGGCAACCUUUUAUCUUUUAUUUGUUAUGCUUUCUGCCUUAUAGUUUUGCCUUUGCAGCUUAUGGUUUACAUGUGUGUGUUUGUUUCUGAUGUACACUACCUUGAUGUCAUCUAAUCCAAUGUGUUUCUAGUGUUGGGUUUAUAUACCACUUGUGUAUGAACUCUUUCAUUGUCAGAUGUAUCCAAUAACUUACAAGAAGAAAGAGGCACUGUCAGAUGUAUCCAAUAACUUAUAAGAAGAAAGAGGCACUAUCAUGUCUCUUCUUUUUAACACACUCAAAAUAGUGCUGACUUCAAUGUUACCUAAAUCCAAUUUGUUACAUAAUCUUUUUUGUUUUACAUGCCUCUUUUUUUGAACCCGUUAUUAAAAAACAAUUUCUAGAUUAGAUAAGACCAUUGAUCCAGAUCUACAAUCAUACACAAAUCCAAAAAUUCUUGGAUUAGACAAGACCACUGAUCUGAUCUCACAGCCAGAUAGCGAUCUUCAUAUCAAAGAAGACCACCAAUCUAGACCAACAUCAUUAUUUUAGUCCAAGAAUUUUCAAAUAGGAUAUGACAACUAAUUGGGAGCUACAAGUGGAAUAUACUAUUCUCAAUAAAUGUAGAAGAUCUCAUAAACCAAAAUCACUGAUAGUGUGGAGGUUUUGAUAAGGCACAUUUACUAUGAAAAAAAAGGUUCGGGUUCUAGGAUGAUCUGAAUUGGUGAUCGCAAAUGGAUUCGAUGAACAUUGAUGUGGAUGUUGAAAAUGAGGUCUUGCUUUAUUAGUACGUCUUAGACUCAUGUAUUAUUCCUUUGUCCGCUUGUUAUUGGCGUGCGAAUAUGAAACUUGCAAUAGGGAUUACGUUCGUGAAGGAGAUAUGUUGGAGUGGACAGGCAUCUGAUGAUCUAAGAGAAAAAUGAUGUGAAAUCAAAGUCAAUAUCAAGGCAGAUGGAGAUAUAUUAUAAGUUCCUUAAACGAUGGUGAAUGGAGUUGAGAUUUGAAUGGAAAACUUGAGGUGAUGAAUUCUUUGUUGGCAUUGAGAUGUCGAUCAAGUGAAAAAAGGAGUUAUUAAGAACAAUUUUGAAGAAGUCCUUAAAUAUCCAUCGGAAAUACCUCAACUCUAAGGUUGGUUGAAGAAAUUUCUUCAAGUUUCAAUUGUCGAAGAUAAAGGAGAUCGUGGUCUUCGGUGGAUAGGUGAAAAAGAUGAAGAUUUAGAGAGAGGGAGAGAGGGAGAAAACUAGAGAUCUAACAGUUUGCGUUUCGUAGCAACUUGAUUUGUUGCAUUGCGCAGCCGUGGUCGAACUGAGGGUUGCGUGUUCAAAGGAUUUCACAGCAUUGUUUUUUAGAUAAUGUUGGCAAGGCUAAUAGCACAACCAUAUCCCAAAUCCAACAAUUUUCGGAUCAGAUAAGACCGCUGAUUCGUAUGAACAAUCAUAUGCAAUUCAACAAUUUCUGGAUCAGAUAAGACCAUCGAUCCUAUCUCGCAACGAAGUUCAAAUCCAACAAUUUCUAGAUCAGAUAAGACCACUGAUCUUGACCCACAAAAUGAUUUGAAUUCAACAAUUUCUCAAAUCAGAUAAGACUCAUAGUCCAUGACCAGAACCCAACAGAAAUCCCUUAAUUUACGUUUUAUGUGAGGCCACUGAUCUUGACCCACAACUAGAUGCGAAUGAAGCAAUUUGUGGAUCAGAUAAGACCACUGAUCCAAAUGUACAACCAGGCACAAUCCAACUAUUCUGGAAUCAGAUAUGACCAUUGAUCCGACGUCGCAGCCAGAUUUUGAUCCAACGAUCUUCAGAUCAGAGUAGACCACUGAUCUAGACCAACAUCAUUAUUUUAGUCCAAGAAUUUUCAAAUAGGAUAUGACAACUAAUUGGGAGCUACAAGUGGAAUAUACUAUUCUCAAUAAAUGUAGAAGAUCUCAUAAACCAAAAUCACUGAUAGUGUGGAGGUUUUGAUAAGGCACAUUUACUAUGAAAAAAAAGGUUCGGGUUCUAGGAUGAUCUGAAUUGGUGAUCGCAAAUGGAUUUGAUGAACAUUGAUGUGGAUGUUGAAAAUGAGGUCUUGCUUUAUUAGUACGUCUUAGACUCAUGUAUUAUUCCUUUGUCCGCUUGUUAUUGGCGUGCGAAUAUGAAACUUGCAAUAGGGAUUACGCUCGUGAAGGAGAUAUGUUGGAGUGGACAGGCAUCUGAUGAUCUAAGAGAAAAAUGAUGUGAAAUCAAAGUCAAUAUCAAGGCAGAUGGAGAUAUAUUAUAAGUUCCUUAAACGAUGGUGAAUGGAGUUGAGAUUUGAAUGGAAAACUUGAGGUGAUGAAUUCUUUGUUGGCAUUGAGAUGUCGAUCAAGUGAAAAAAGGAGUUAUUAAGAACAAUUUUGAAGAAGUCCUUAAAUAUCCAUCGGAAAUACCUCAACUCUAAGGUUGGUUGAAGAAAUUUCUUCAAGUUUCAAUUGUCGAAGAUAAAGGAGAUCGUGGUCUUCGGUGGAUAGGUGAAAAAGAUGAAGAUUUAGAGAGAGGGAGAGAGGGAGAAAACUAGAGAUCUAACAGUUUGCGUUUCGUAGCAACUUGAUUUGUUGCAUUGCGCAGCCGUGGUCGAACUGAGGGUUGCGUGUUCAAAGGAUUUCACAGCCAUGUUUUUUAGAUAAUGUUGGCAAGGCUAAUAGCACAACCAUAUCCCAAAUCCAACAAUUUUCGGAUCAGAUAAGACCGCUGGUUCGUAUGAACAAUCAUAUGCAAUUCAACAAUUUCUGGAUCAGAUAAGACCAUCGAUCCUAUCUCGCAACGAAGUUCAAAUCCAACAAUUUCUACAUAGAUAAGACCACUGAUCUUGACACACAAAAUAAUUUGAAUUCAACAAUUUGUCAAAUCAGAUAAGACUCAUAGUCCAUGACCAGAACCCAACAGAAAUCCCUUAAUUUACGUUUUAUGUGAGGCCACUGAUCUUGACCCACAACUAGAUGCGAAUGAAGCAAUUUGUGGAUCAGAUAAGACCACUGAUCCAAAUGUACAACCAGGCACAAUCCAACUAUUCUGGAAUCCGAUAUGACCAUUGAUCCGACGUCGUAGCCAGAUUUUGAUCCAACGAUCUUCAGAUCAGAGUAGACCACUGAUCUAGACCAACAUCAUUAUUUUAGUCCAAGAAUUUUCAAAUAGGAUAUGACAACUAAUUGGGAGCUACAAGUGGAAUAUACUAUUCUCAAUAAAUGUAGAAGAUCUCAUAAACCAAAAUCACUGAUAGUGUGGAGGUUUUGAUAAGGCACAUUUACUAUGAAAAAAAAGGUUCGGGUUCUAGGAUGAUCUGAAUUGGUGAUCGCAAAUGGAUUUGAUGAACAUUGAUGUGGAUGUUGAAAAUGAGGUCUUGCUUUAUUAGUACGUCUUAGACUCAUGUAUUAUUCCUUUGUCCGCUUGUUAUUGGCGUGCGAAUAUGAAACUUGCAAUAGGGAUUACGCUCGUGAAGGAGAUAUGUUGGAGUGGACAGGCAUCUGAUGAUCUAAGAGAAAAAUGAUGUGAAAUCAAAGUCAAUAUCACGGCAGAUGGAGAUAUAUUAUAAGUUCCUUAAACGAUGGUGAAUGGAGUUGAGAUUUGAAUGGAAAACUUGAGGUGAUGAAUUCUUUGUUGGCAUUGAGAUGUCGAUCAAGUGAAAAAAGGAGUUAUUAAGAACAAUUUUGAAGAAGUCCUUAAAUAUCCAUCGGAAAUACCUCAACUCUAAGGUUGGUUGAAGAAAUUUCUUCAAGUUUCAAUUGUCGAAGAUAAAGGAGAUCGUGGUCUUCGGUGGAUAGGUGAAAAAGAUGAAGAUUUAGAGAGAGGGAGAGAGGGAGAAAACUAGAGAUCUAACAGUUUGCGUUUCGUAGCAACUUGAUUUGUUGCAUUGCGCAGCCGUGGUCGAACUGAGGGUUGCGUGUUCAAAGGAUUUCACAGCCUUGUUUUUUAGAUAAUGUUGGCAAGGCUAAUAGCACAACCAUAUCCCAAAUCCAACAAUUUUCGGAUCAGAUAAGACCGCUGGUUCGUAUGAACAAUCAUAUGCAAUUCAACAAUUUCUGGAUCAGAUAAGACCAUCGAUCCUAUCUCGCAACGAAGUUCAAAUCCAACAAUUUCUAGAUCAGAUAAGACCACUGAUCUUGACCCACAAAAUGAUUUGAAUUCAACAAUUUCUCAAAUCAGAUAAGACUCAUAGUCCAUGACCAGAACCCAACAGAAAUCCCUUAAUUUACGUUUUAUGUGAGGCCACUGAUCUUGACCCACAACUAGAUGCGAAUGAAGCAAUUUGUGGAUCAGAUAAGACCACUGAUCCAAAUGUACAACCAGGCACAAUCCAACUAUUCUGGAAUCAGAUAUGACCAUUGAUCCGACGUCGUAGCCAGAUUUUGAUCCAACGAUCUUCAGAUCAGAGUAGACCACUGAUCUAGACCAACAUCAUUAUUUUAGUCCAAGAAUUUUCAAAUAGGAUAUGACAACUAAUUGGGAGCUACAAGUGGAAUAUACUAUUCUCAAUAAAUGUAGAAGAUCUCAUAAACCAAAAUCACUGAUAGUGUGGAGGUUUUGAUAAGGCACAUUUACUAUGAAAAAAAAGGUUCGGGUUCUAGGAUGAUCUGAAUUGGUGAUCGCAAAUGGAUUUGAUGAACAUUGAUGUGGAUGUUGAAAAUGAGGUCUUGCUUUAUUAGUACGUCUUAGACUCAUGUAUUAUUCCUUUGUCCGCUUGUUAUUGGCGUGCGAAUAUGAAACUUGCAAUAGGGAUUACGCUCGUGAAGGAGAUAUGUUGGAGUGGACAGGCAUCUGAUGAUCUAAGAGAAAAAUGAUGUGAAAUCAAAGUCAAUAUCAAGGCAGAUGGAGAUAUAUUAUAAGUUCCUUAAACGAUGGUGAAUGGAGUUGAGAUUUGAAUGGAAAACUUGAGGUGAUGAAUUCUUUGUUGGCAUUGAGAUGUCGAUCAAGUGAAAAAAGGAGUUAUUAAGAACAAUUUUGAAGAAGUCCUUAAAUAUCCAUCGGAAAUACCUCAACUCUAAGGUUGGUUGAAGAAAUUUCUUCAAGUUUCAAUUGUCGAAGAUAAAGGAGAUCGUGGUCUUCGGUGGAUAGGUGAAAAAGAUGAAGAUUUAGAGAGAGGGAGAGAGGGAGAAAACUAGAGAUCUAACAGUUUGCGUUUCGUAGCAACUUGAUUUGUUGCAUUGCGCAGCCGUGGUCGAACUGAGGGUUGCGUGUUCAAAGGAUUUCACAGCCUUGUUUUUUAGAUAAUGUUGGCAAGGCUAAUAGCACAACCAUAUCCCAAAUCCAACAAUUUUCGGAUCAGAUAAGACCGCUGGUUCGUAUGAACAAUCAUAUGCAAUUCAACAAUUUCUGGAUCAGAUAAGACCAUCGAUCCUAUCUCGCAACGAAGUUCAAAUCCAACAAUUUCUAGAUCAGAUAAGACCACUGAUCUUGACCCACAAAAUGAUUUGAAUUCAACAAUUUCUCAAAUCAGAUAAGACUCAUAGUCCAUGACCAGAACCCAACAGAAAUCCCUUAAUUUACGUUUUAUGUGAGGCCACUGAUCUUGACCCACAACUAGAUGCGAAUGAAGCAAUUUGUGGAUCAGAUAAGACCACUGAUCCAAAUGUACAACCAGGCACAAUCCAACUAUUCUGGAAUCAGAUAUGACCAUUGAUCCGACGUCGUAGCCAGAUUUUGAUCCAACGAUCUUCAGAUCAGAGUAGACCACUGAUCUAGACCAACAUCAUUAUUUUAGUCCAAGAAUUUUCAAAUAGGAUAUGACAACUAAUUGGGAGCUACAAGUGGAAUAUACUAUUCUCAAUAAAUGUAGAAGAUCUCAUAAACCAAAAUCACUGAUAGUGUGGAGGUUUUGAUAAGGCACAUUUACUAUGAAAAAAAAGGUUCGGGUUCUAGGAUGAUCUGAAUUGGUGAUCGCAAAUGGAUUUGAUGAACAUUGAUGUGGAUGUUGAAAAUGAGGUCUUGCUUUAUUAGUACGUCUUAGACUCAUGUAUUAUUCCUUUGUCCGCUUGUUAUUGGCGUGCGAAUAUGAAACUUGCAAUAGGGAUUACGCUCGUGAAGGAGAUAUGUUGGAGUGGACAGGCAUCUGAUGAUCUAAGAGAAAAAUGAUGUGAAAUCAAAGUCAAUAUCAAGGCAGAUGGAGAUAUAUUAUAAGUUCCUUAAACGAUGGUGAAUGGAGUUGAGAUUUGAAUGGAAAACUUGAGGUGAUGAAUUCUUUGUUGGCAUUGAGAUGUCGAUCAAGUGAAAAAAGGAGUUAUUAAGAACAAUUUUGAAGAAGUCCUUAAAUAUCCAUCGGAAAUACCUCAACUCUAAGGUUGGUUGAAGAAAUUUCUUCAAGUUUCAAUUGUCGAAGAUAAAGGAGAUCGUGGUCUUCGGUGGAUAGGUGAAAAAGAUGAAGAUUUAGAGAGAGGGAGAGAGGGAGAAAACUAGAGAUCUAACAGUUUGCGUUUCGUAGCAACUUGAUUUGUUGCAUUGCGCAGCCGUGGUCGAACUGAGGGUUGCGUGUUCAAAGGAUUUCACAGCCUUGUUUUUUAGAUAAUGUUGGCAAGGCUAAUAGCACAACCAUAUCCCAAAUCCAACAAUUUUCGGAUCAGAUAAGACCGCUGGUUCGUAUGAACAAUCAUAUGCAAUUCAACAAUUUCUGGAUCAGAUAAGACCAUCGAUCCUAUCUCGCAACGAAGUUCAAAUCCAACAAUUUCUAGAUCAGAUAAGACCACUGAUCUUGACCCACAAAAUGAUUUGAAUUCAACAAUUUCUCAAAUCAGAUAAGACUCAUAGUCCAUGACCAGAACCCAACAGAAAUCCCUUAAUUUACGUUUUAUGUGAGGCCACUGAUCUUGACCCACAACUAGAUGCGAAUGAAGCAAUUUGUGGAUCAGAUAAGACCACUGAUCCAAAUGUACAACCAGGCACAAUCCAACUAUUCUGGAAUCAGAUAUGACCAUUGAUCCGACGUCGUAGCCAGAUUUUGAUCCAACGAUCUUCAGAUCAGAGUAGACCACUGAUCUAGACCAACAUCAUUAUUUUAGUCCAAGAAUUUUCAAAUAGGAUAUGACAACUAAUUGGGAGCUACAAGUGGAAUAUACUAUUCUCAAUAAAUGUAGAAGAUCUCAUAAACCAAAAUCACUGAUAGUGUGGAGGUUUUGAUAAGGCACAUUUACUAUGAAAAAAAAGGUUCGGGUUCUAGGAUGAUCUGAAUUGGUGAUCGCAAAUGGAUUUGAUGAACAUUGAUGUGGAUGUUGAAAAUGAGGUCUUGCUUUAUUAGUACGUCUUAGACUCAUGUAUUAUUCCUUUGUCCGCUUGUUAUUGGCGUGCGAAUAUGAAACUUGCAAUAGGGAUUACGCUCGUGA